CCCUUAGAUGUUCGGGGCCGCACGCGCGCUACACUGACUGCAGCAGCUAGUGUGAUCCUGGCCGGAAACGGUUGGGUAACCUGGUUGAAUCGCAGGCGUGACAGGGAUCAGGGCUUGCAAUUGUCCCCUGUGAACGAGGAAUUCCGAGUAAGCGCAAGUCAUUAGCUUGUGCUGAUUACGUCCCUGCCCUUUGUACACACCGCCCGUCGCUACUACCGAUUGAAUGUUUUAGUGAGGUCUUCGGACUGGUUCCGGCGGAGUGGUUCUCUGCUCUGCUGGAGUCGGGAAGAUGAUCAAACUUGAGCAUUUAGAGGAAGUAAAANUCGUAGCA
This 331-nucleotide ribosomal RNA is filed under the name uncultured eukaryote. RNAcentral describes it as "partial 18S ribosomal RNA". It matches the Rfam family "Eukaryotic small subunit ribosomal RNA", at positions 1470 to 1796 of the family's 1831-position model. The record is from RNAcentral.